AUAUAUGACUGACUCUCUCUCUCCUUGGCUUUUCAUUUCCUACCUUGACUGACUCUCUCUCUCUCUCUCUCAUCGUAACCUUGUGGGCAGCCAUGGCUGGGUCUUACUUUCGCUGGUUCAAGAAUAACGAAGGAAACGCCAAUGACCAAAACAGAGGAGAGGAAAAUGCAAUUCCAGAACCAAGCAGAGGAGAAAAGGAGAAAAAUGGAAACUUGGAGAAAAAUAGCUUGAAAUGCUAGAAAACUGAUUUGGCCGAAGCGAUUUGACCAAAUCAAGCCUCAAAGAAUGCCAAAGGCAGCUACAAGAAGAGGAAGCUAACCUACAAGACUUGAUAUGCCUAUGUUGAUUUGCCCGGAUCGUUGGCCAAAUCACCUUAAGAAAAGUUGAAACUGAAACCCGGAGGAAACACGCAGAAAUGAUUUGGGCGAGGGAUUUGCUCAAAUCACUGUCUAAAUCAACGGUCCUCAGCAAGAAAAUACAGAAGCACGGAAAAGCAAAAAUCCAAAGAUUCAAACGUCUUAGAGUCCUAUCCUACUUCAAAUACACCAAGACCAAUCCUAUGACACCACAUAAACUGCACCAAAAGGAGUCCUACACCAAAUGAGAUCUAUUCAUGCUAGAAUAUAAGAUAAAGAAGAAAUAAAAAAAAGACCAUCAAAGACCAAGUCUAAAUAAGAUUCCAACUCCAAGAAGGAUUAAGACUUCUCACCUAUAAAAAAGGGCAGCAACCAACAGCAAAAAAAUAUCAGAAUUUUGGGCAGAAGCUUCGACAACACCUCUCGCUCUCAUUUUCUUCUUCUUUUUCUCUUUUAUGUGUUCUUUAUCCACCAUGAGUGGCUAAAAACUUUUAUCUCUAGUUGAAGUUGGAGAAAUUUCAGUUUGUUAUGAAUUGGGAGAUUUGAAACUC
Manihot esculenta (cassava) is the source of this 907-nucleotide long non-coding RNA. RefSeq lists it as uncharacterized. Lineage: Eukaryota; Viridiplantae; Streptophyta; Magnoliopsida; Malpighiales; Euphorbiaceae. The transcript is spliced from 3 exons. The record is from RefSeq and is a predicted model, not a curated record.